GCCGGGUGCAGUGAUGCACACCUGUAAUCCCAGCAGCUCGGGAGGCUGAGAUUGGAGGAUCAUGGGUUCAAAACCAGCCUCAGCAACAGUGAGGCACUAUACAGCUCAGUGAGACCCUGUCUCUA
Molecule: small RNA, 125 nt
Filed under: Marmota monax (woodchuck)
Lineage: Eukaryota; Metazoa; Chordata; Mammalia; Rodentia; Sciuridae
Source: RNAcentral